Molecule: ribosomal RNA, 189 nt
Filed under: uncultured fungus
Lineage: Eukaryota; Fungi
Description: partial 18S ribosomal RNA
Rfam family: Eukaryotic small subunit ribosomal RNA
Source: RNAcentral
GUAGUCAUAUGCUUGUCUCAAAGAUUAAGCCAUGCAUGUCUAGGUAUAAGCAAUUAUACAGCGAAACUGCGAAUGGCUCAUUAUAUAAGUUAUCGUUUAUUUGAUAGUACCUUACUACAUGGAUACCUGUGGUAAUUCUAGAGCUAAUACAUGCAGUAGUCAUAUGCUUGUCUCAAAGAUUAAGCCAUG